This 851-nucleotide unclassified non-coding RNA is filed under the name Hevea brasiliensis (rubber tree). The record is from RNAcentral. Lineage: Eukaryota; Viridiplantae; Streptophyta; Magnoliopsida; Malpighiales; Euphorbiaceae.
GGUUUUUCAAUUCUUUCGUCAAAAACGUGCGAAUCGCGCACAGCUGUAUCAAAUAGAUCGUAGAAGCAAAACAACCGCCUUAGGAUCGAAUUCCAGCCCUAGAAGAUCAGAGAAGACCUAACAUUGCACCCCCUUCUCAACUUUAGUCCCUCUCAGAGCUGCAAGAAGUCAAGAUCCCGUUUGAUUCGCCAACUUACCUUUUACAAAUCUUGCAUGUGGACAGAGCUGUGUUUUUCAUAUCUUAUUACCUGCCCAAUGAAGCAUGUUGUCAAGAUUAUGGCCUUGCUAGUGGCCAUUUCUUCCAUUUGGGUUGGCCUCUUGCAGACCUCUAUUAUUCCUCAUAGCCAUACUUGGUUGCUACCCAUCUAUUUUGUUGUAUCUUUGGGUUGCUAUGGUUUAUUAAUGGUUGGAAUUGGUUUAAUGCGAUUUCCAACUUGCCCUCAAGAAGCACUACUAUUGCAGCAGGACAUCAUCGAGGCCAAAGAAUUUCUAAAGCAAAAAGGGAUUGAUGUUGGCUCGGAUUGAUGAAGGCACAUAAUUUCAGGUUUAGACAGUUAAUGGCAAAACAUCUGAAAGCUUUGAGCAAUCUAUCGGUGCAUCAGAAUGCCAACUUUUCCUGUCUAUUCAAAAUUUUUUCAAAGAGUUGCAAUGUUAAAGCUAAUUAAACUUGAGGUUCCACAACGGCUCCUGGACAUUUAUGAAAAGAUGGAUUUUAUUGUUUCCUCUUUCUCUCGCUUUUUUCCUUUUUAACUAAUGGGAAUUGAGAGUUGUAGCCAUUACUCUUAUGUGAAGUUAUACGAAGAUGAACAUCAAAACAUGAUUGCCAUUCUUAAUUAACUUUUGUAACAUUU